This is a long non-coding RNA of Nyctereutes procyonoides (raccoon dog), 1166 nucleotides long. RefSeq lists it as uncharacterized. Lineage: Eukaryota; Metazoa; Chordata; Mammalia; Carnivora; Canidae. The record is from RefSeq and is a predicted model, not a curated record. The transcript has 3 exons.
AAAUAUUGUAAUUUAUGAUUUUUUUAUUUAAUUCUAAAAUUAUUUGAUUCCUAAUGACAUUGAACAGUUUUUCUCCUAUUUUGGCUAGUUUUUUAAUCAUCUUUUAUUAAAGCCUGUUUGAUAUGUUGCUUAUUAUCUACUAAUACAGUUAUUUAUUGAUUUGUGAGAGCUCUUUAUAUAUUCAGGAAAUCAACUAUUCUUUCAAAUAUGCCAUAACUUACUAUUUUAUUACUUGUCUUUUUAAAUAAGGAUAUUGGGGAUAGGACUAAGAACAAAGCACAUCUAACAAUAUGGAAAUAACCUAAUUCCUGAAAAACUACAAACUCAAUAACAUGGGUUUAUUUUUCCCCCCAAAAAAAUCGUAUGCCAUGAUACUUUAUUUGUGUUUUUUCUUACACAGUAACUUUGUUUUGGUGCCAGUUUUUUACAGUAAGAAUAAAGUCUUUCUGCUAUGAUUGGAGAGGCACAGGUGAGAGCUAAAAUGCUCUGAAGAGUAUUAGAUAGCUCUCUUUGGUCAAAAAUAUUAAAUAAUGCUUUUAUCCUCCAUAUGCCAUUUGAAAUAUAUAGUGGGAUUUAUUUUUUAUUUUACUUUUUUGAAGAAGUAAAAUUUACAUACAGUAAACUGCAAAGACCUUAGAUGUUUAAUUUGAUGAGUUUUGAGAAGUGUUGGCUUGGUUAUUUAUAUUCAAUAGCACUAGAAUUUGGGACACCUGGCUGGCUCAGUCAGAAGAGCAUGUGGCUCUUGAUCUCAGGGCUGUGAGUUUGGGCCCCACGUUGGCUGUAGAGAUUAAAAUAAAUAAGUAAACUUCAAAAGUUUUAGAAUUUUAUUAUUUUCUUUAACAGUUUGAACCUUCAGUUGUAUACUUAGACAAUCUUUUCACAUUCUGAAUGGCAGUCUCGGGCAUGUCCAUUUGUAAAGCCGCCGAGGGCUCUGGUGACAAGAAGGGCAGUGGCUGCAGACCUUCCAAGCCCCUAAAAGUACAAGGACAUGAAGAUAUGAACUUGAGAUGAAAUUCACCAGAGAAGAAUACUCCAAAUUUUAUGGCCUGAGUUCUUUUUCACAGGGGCCCCUCUAUGUGACCUGCUUAGGGUAAGUAUCAACAGGAAUUUACUAUUUAUUUAUAUAGUAGCUAUAUGUAUAUAAGAAUGUACUUACUAUCUGAUUA